Molecule: ribosomal RNA, 497 nt
Filed under: uncultured bacterium
Lineage: Bacteria
Description: partial 16S ribosomal RNA
Rfam family: Bacterial small subunit ribosomal RNA
Source: RNAcentral
GAUGAACGCUGGCGGCGUGCCUAAUACAUGCAAGUCGAGCGAACAGACGAGGAGCUUGCUCCUCUGACGUUAGCGGCGGACGGGUGAGUAACACGUGGAUAACCUACCUAUAAGACUGGGAUAACUUCGGGAAACCGGAGCUAAUACCGGAUAAUAUAUUGAACCGCAUGGUUCAAUAGUGAAAGACGGUGUUGCUGUCACUUAUAGAUGGAUCCGCGCUGCAUUAGCUAGUUGGUAAGGUAACGGCUUACCAAGGCAACGAUGCGUAGCCGACCUGAGAGGGUGAUCGGCCACACUGGAACGGAGACACGGUCCAGACGCCUACGGGAGGCGGCAGUAGGGAAUCUUCCGCAAUGGGCGAAAGCCUGACGGAGCAACGCCGCGUGAGUGAUGAAGGUCUUCGGAUCGUAAAACUCUGUUAUUAGGGAAGAACAAAUGUGUAAGUAACUGUGCACGUCUUGACGGUACCUAAUCAGAAAGCCACGGCUAACUACGUG